AUUGAACGCUGGCGGCAGGCCUAACACAUGCAAGUCGAACGAGUGGCGGACGGGUGAGUAAUGUCUGGGAAACUGCCCGAUGGAGGGGGAUAACUACUGGAAACGGUAGCUAAUACCGCAUACCAUCGGAUGUACCCAGAUGGGAUUAGCUAGUAGGUGGGGUAACGGCUCACCUACGCGACGAUCCCUAGCUGGGCUGAGAGGAUGACCAGCCCCACUGGAACUGAGCCACGGGCCAGAGUCCUACGGGAGGCAGCAGUGGGGAAUAUUGCGCAAUGGGCGGAAGCCUUAUGCAGCCAUGCCGCGUGUAUGAAGAAGGCCUGCGGGUUGUAAAGUCCUUUCAGCGAUGAGGCGUUACUCGCAGAAGAAGCACCGGCUAACUCCGUGCCAGCAGCCGCGGUAAUUC
This 406-nucleotide ribosomal RNA is filed under the name uncultured bacterium. RNAcentral describes it as "partial 16S ribosomal RNA". It matches the Rfam family "Bacterial small subunit ribosomal RNA", at positions 30 to 526 of the family's 1533-position model. The record is from RNAcentral.